GAUGAAGAACGUAGCGAAAUGCGAUACUUGGUGAGAAUUGCAGAAUCCCGUGAACCAUCGAGUCUUUGAACGCAAGUUGCGCCCGAAGCCAUCAGGUUGAGGGCACGUCUGCCUGGGCGUCACAUAUCGUUGCCCAAUGCCUAUUGCAGUGCAAUAGGAAUUUCUAGGGCGAAUGAUGGCUUCCCGUGAGCGUUGUUGCCUCGCGGUUGGUUGAAAAUCGAGUCCUUGGUAGGGUGUGCCAUGGUAGAUGGUGGUCGAGUUAGAACGAUACCGAUCAUGUGCAUGCUCCCCAAAAUAUGGCCUCUAUGACCCACACGCGUCUUUUGACGCUCAUGACGAGACCUCAGGUCAGGCGGGGCUACCCGCUGAAUUUAAGCAUAUCAAUAAGCGGAGGA
RNAcentral lists this unclassified non-coding RNA (395 nucleotides) under soil metagenome. RNAcentral's name for it is "partial contains 5.8S ribosomal RNA, internal transcribed spacer 2, and large subunit ribosomal RNA". The stretch from base 1 to 122 matches the Rfam family "5.8S ribosomal RNA", at positions 35 to 154 of the family's 154-position model. The record is from RNAcentral.